Molecule: ribosomal RNA, 460 nt
Filed under: uncultured bacterium
Lineage: Bacteria
Description: partial 16S ribosomal RNA
Rfam family: Bacterial small subunit ribosomal RNA
Source: RNAcentral
CCUACGGAGGACAGCAGUGAGGAAUAUUGGUCAAUGGGCGGAAGCCUGAACCAGCCAAGUAGCGUGCAGGAUGACGGCCCUACGGGUUGUAAACUGCUUUUAUACGGGAAUAACGCGCCUUACGUGUAGGGCUUUGCAUGUACCGUAUGAAUAAGGACCGGCUAAUUCCGUGCCAGCAGCCGCGGUAAUACGGAAGGUCCGGGCGUUAUCCGGAUUUAUUGGGUUUAAAGGGAGCGUAGGCCGCAUGUCAAGCGUGCUGUGAAAUGUCCGGGCUCAACCCGGGCCUUGCAGCGCGAACUGGCGUGCUUGAGUCCGCGGAAAGCAGGCGGAAUUCGUCGUGUAGCGGUGAAAUGCUUAGAUAUGACGAAGAACCCCGAGUGCGAAGGCAGCUUGCUGCAGCGGAACUGACGCUGAUGCUCGAAAGCGCGGGUAUCGAACAGGAUUAGAUACCCCAGUAGUC